GCAUAGUUUGUGGGCCAGUACACCACGCAGAGGCCCAUACAGUGCUGCACAGUUUUUGUCUGAUGACGUAUUCCUGCACUACUCUACUAACACUCGUCCCAGUGCACUUCCCACUAUUUUAUUAUUAUUAUUAUUGUCAUUUAUAUAGCGCCAACAGACCCCGUAGCGCUUUACAAUAUUAUGAGGGGGGGAUUUAACUAUAAAUAGGACAAUUACAAUAAAACUUACAGGAGCGAUAGUUUGAAGAGACCCUGCUAAUCCAAAGAAAAUUGUGUGAAGCUGCAACCAAAAACCAAAAAGUAAUUCAAGUGACUGGUGGGUGGCAAUUUCCU
Molecule: non-coding RNA, 332 nt
Organism: Pelobates cultripes (western spadefoot toad)
Lineage: Eukaryota; Metazoa; Chordata; Amphibia; Anura; Pelobatidae
Source: the annotation of a GenBank genome assembly